Molecule: ribosomal RNA, 245 nt
Filed under: uncultured Ohtaekwangia sp.
Lineage: Bacteria; Pseudomonadati; Bacteroidota; Cytophagia; Cytophagales; Fulvivirgaceae
Description: partial 16S ribosomal RNA
Rfam family: Bacterial small subunit ribosomal RNA
Source: RNAcentral
UACGUAGGUGGCAAGCGUUGUCCGGAUUUAUUGGGUUUAAAGGGUGCGUAGGCGGCCCUGUAAGUCAGUGCUGAAAUCCCCCGGCUUGACCGGGGUGGUGGCAUUGAUACUGCAGGGCUUGAGUACAGAUGAGGUAGGCGGAAUUGACGGUGUAGCGGUGGAAUGCAUAGAUAUCGUCAAGAACACCGAUAGCGAAGGCAGCUUACUGGGCUGUAACUGACGCUGAUGCACGAAAGUGUGGGGAU